RNAcentral lists this ribosomal RNA (459 nucleotides) under uncultured bacterium. RNAcentral describes it as "partial 16S ribosomal RNA". It matches the Rfam family "Bacterial small subunit ribosomal RNA", at positions 338 to 795 of the family's 1533-position model. The record is from RNAcentral.
CCUACGGGUGGCAGCAGUGAGGAAUAUUGGUCAAUGGACGAGAGUCUGAACCAGCCAAGUAGCGUGAAGGAUGACUGCCCUAUGGGUUGUAAACUUCUUUUAUAUGGGAAUAAAAUGUUCCACGUGUGGGAUUUUGUAUGUACCAUAUGAAUAAGGAUCGGCUAACUCCGUGCCAGCAGCCGCGGUAAUACGGAGGAUCCGAGCGUUAUCCGGUUUUUUGGGUUUUAAGGGGGCGUAGGUGGAUUGGUAAGUCCGUUGUGAAAGUUUGCGGGUCAAACGUAAAAGUGCAGUUGAAACUGGCAGUCUUGAGUACAGUAGAGGUGGGCGGAAGUCGUGGUGUAGCGGUGAAAUGCUUAGAUAUCACGAAGAACUCCGAUUGCGAAGGCAGUUCACUGGACUGCAACUGACACUGAGGCUCGAAAGUGUGGGUAUCAAACAGGAUUAGAUACCCUUGUAGUC